Molecule: ribosomal RNA, 564 nt
Filed under: Cladosporium sphaerospermum
Lineage: Eukaryota; Fungi; Ascomycota; Dothideomycetes; Cladosporiales; Cladosporiaceae
Description: LSU rRNA
Rfam family: Eukaryotic large subunit ribosomal RNA
Source: RNAcentral
CCAACAGGGAUUGCUCUAGUAACGGCGAGUGAAGCAGCAAUAGCUCAAAUUUGAAAUCUGGCGUCUUCGGCGUCCGAGUUGUAAUUUGUAGAGGAUGCUUCUGGGCAGCCACCGACCUAAGUUCCUUGGAACAGGACGUCAUAGAGGGUGAGAAUCCCGUAUGCGGUCGGAAAGGCACCCUACACGUAGCUCCUUCGACGAGUCGAGUUGUUUGGGAAUGCAGCUCUAAAUGGGAGGUAAAUUUCUUCUAAAGCUAAAUAUUGGCCAGAGACCGAUAGCGCACAAGUAGAGUGAUNGAAAGAUGAAAAGCACUUUGGAAAGAGAGUUAAAAAGCACGUGAAAUUGUUGAAAGGGAAGGGAUUGCAACCAGACUUGCUCGCGGUGUUCCGCCGGUCUUCUGACCGGUUCACUCGCCGCGUUGCAGGCCAGCAUCGUCUGGUGCCGCUGGAUAAGACUGGAGGAAUGUAGCUCCCUCGGGAGUGUUGUAGCCUCUAGUGAUGCAGCGAGCGCCGGGCGAGGUCCGCGCUUCGGCUAGGAUGCUGGCGUAAUGGUCGUAAUCCGCCC